Molecule: long non-coding RNA, 40438 nt
Filed under: Elaeis guineensis (African oil palm)
Lineage: Eukaryota; Viridiplantae; Streptophyta; Magnoliopsida; Arecales; Arecaceae
Description: long non-coding RNA (EGUI_LNC001626)
Source: RNAcentral
CCGUUUCAAGCCUCCCACCCAAUUGAGACUCCUGAGGAUGGAAAAACCUGAGGAAAACGCUUAUGAAAGCUCCCUCGCAAUGCUCGCGGAAGCUUCCGGAACCUCACCUCGUGGAAGCUCACGGAAGUACCACGUCGAAGCUCGCAGACGGAGGGGCGGCAGCGUCAAGCCGGUGACCGAGUGGUGGAGGGAGAAGGAGGGGGAAGGGAAGUGUAAGGUCUGAGAGGGCUGCCGCGGAUGGAAAGCCCCAUCGCCAUGGCCCCUGCGACUACCCAGCUUUCCACCGCCGAGGCCGGCCGCAAGAAUCUAUCUUGGAGGAGGAAGGGAGGAAGCAACGGCCCAGCGAGAAUGGCUCCUUGAGAAGGCUCCCGUCUCGAGGUCCAAGCUCGAAGCGCUCUCCCCGUCACUCUCACCAUCGUCCACCUCUAAAACGCUCAAGAAGAGGAGAGAGAAAGGGGCAAAGGGUUUUAGGAAAUGUAGGGAGGGGAAGGAGAAGGAGAGGAGGUCUUUGAGGGCGCGGAAGGGCUGGAGAUGCUUCUCCUUCUCGAUGCCAUGGUCGAGGCCACGGUCGCGGACCCACUUCACUUGGGCGUCCAUCAAGGUGCGACUCAGGGUCAUGUUCUGUGUUCUUAGAUAGAGGCCUAUGACGGUUUUACAAGGGUUUUAUUCUUGCUAUCUGGUUAGAGACAAAUUGAAAAAUUAAAUUUCAAAUUGGUUAAAUUCAGAUUCUGUUUUGGUUGGCUUUAGUAAGAGUUUUUUAUCAAAUCUUGAAUUGGGUUUGGUUCAAGCUUUAAUCAAGACACUACAAGAAAAAGCUAUAUUUGCAACAAACAUUUCCAACAGAUAACAAAUCAUGCAUAGAAAAAAAUAAUUUUUUCCAAUGAAUAUUUAUUUCCAUUGCAAAUAUAUUACUAUAUGUAAUAUUUCCCAACAGAGUAGCGAUAGUUGUUGGGAAAACAUUUUUGCCCGAUGAACCGUUGGCAAAGAUUGAGGGAAUUGGGCCUUAAUUCAUUGGUUCCAAGGUGACACGUGAGGAGAAAAAUUUUAUACCGCAAUGAAGUGUCUUCCCCCGUAUCCAUGAAGCCCAAAUCCUUCAUAAUUUUUGAUGAGCCAAGCCAGAAUCAUAAUCGAUGCCCAAACCCAAUCAGAAAUUUUCUCCAAGCUCUUUCUAUCUUCAGUCUUGUUCCUUUACUUUCCCUUCUCUUUUCUUUGUUUUUUCUGCUUCUUCUUUCUUUCUUCUCCCUUCUCUCCAUUUCUCUCCCCUUUUCAGAUCAACGGCCAGAGCAAUCGAACUUUGUCGAGCAAGGUAUGUUCUUUUCUCGACCCUGAUUUGGUUUGGUUAUCUUCUUUUCUUAUUUUUAGGUAUAUUCUUUUCUCAACUCUGAGUUGGAUUAGGUUUUCUUCUUUUUUUAUUUUGUUUGCUUCCUAGAAUUACAAUGGUUAUCCUAAUCGUUCUGUAGUUUUAUCAUAAAUCUGUAGACUGACUAGAUUUAAUUUUUUAGUAAAAUAUCUGGAACUUUUUGAUUUAAUUUUGGUCUUUGGAGGGGAUAUGGAGGAAUAAUAACCCAAUGUUUGGUGAGUUUUUAUAGAUUCAGGACGCUUUCAAAUCGGACUUUUUGACUCUCUUGUGUGGAGUUUCAUUGAUAAUGAUGGAAUCUUUUUGUUUUUCUCUUCCCUUAAAAGAAUUAUAUUCUACUGGAUAGAUGGGUUUUAGUUGAUGAAAUAAUCUAUUUAAUGGGGCAUAUCCUAUGACUCUUGAUAUACCUUUAAAUCCAAAUCAUUAUUUUUUGCUUUAGUUGCUAGUUUUUUAUAAAAGGAAGGAAAAUCUGCUGGUAUAUUGUUCGAUUUUUCUUUAAAUCAAUGGCGAAAUCUUUUGGUGCAUAAGCUCCUCUUUGCUCAAUGAAUCUCAAAUGGUGAUAAAUUUAUCUUGCAUUGUGAGGAAUUGUUUUUCUCUUUAGUUACUGUUUAUAUUUGUUUCUAUCUUCUUCUUCUUUUAAUGUUAUCUUUCACAGAUAAUUCUUUCAUUUUUCUUUCAUCAGUGAAGGUCCCUUGGGGUAUUUGUGAAAUGUUGCAUACGCAAUUACAGAGGUGAUAUAUGAGCCCAAAUCCGAUCAACUCCUUAAUCUUUGAAUCAAUGUAGAUCUCAAUACACUCCUUUUUAGCUAACAGAGAGGCUUCCACCGCCAUUUGGCUCAUGUGGCCUUAUUUAAUCAAAAAAAAAAAACUCAUUUAUUAGGGAUAAGACUGUAUUGGCUUUUGUUUGGAUGAGAUGGCAUUUGAAAAAAAUUAUCUUAAUGGAGAUGGGACAUGAAAGCAAUGAGCUAUUUGGACUAUUAAUUUUUUGUUUAGAUAAGGUGGUAUUUGAAAUUAAUAAAAAAAUAUAUGUGUUAAUGGAGAUGGAACAUGUAGAGAUGAGCUCACUUUCAAAUGGCAUUCUUCCCUUUUGUUUGAAUGAGAUGACAUUUAAAAAUAUUAAAAAAAUAUAUACGUUAAUGGGGAUGAGACACAUAGGAAUGAAGUCUCUUUCAAAUGGCAUUCUUCCCUCUCUCACCUCUCUCUCCUUUUGUCUCUCGCCGGCAAAAUACAAGAUAUUAUCUCCCUCUCUUUGUCUCUCAUUGAUAAAAACUCCUCUCUCUUUCUCUCAUCGAUGCAAACACCUUUUAUUCUCUCUCUUAUUGGCACAAACUCCUCUCAUUCUCUCUCAUUCUUUCUCUCCCUCUUUCUCACUGAUGCAAACACAUCUCAUUCUUCCUUUCUCUCACCGACAUAAACUCCUCUCAUUCUCUCUCCCUAGCACAAACUACCCAAGCUCUCUCUCCCUAUCUCUUGUGGAAUCGUGGCUCAUCCUUUCAUUCUCUCUUCCUUUCUUCUGCUUAUGUCUCUCACUCAUCGAAAUCAUCCAUCUGAGAUACCUCCUUUCUCUCUGUCUUGCCAAUCGUUGGAAUCCAGCAACCUUUUUUAAUCAAUUAGUUUGUGUUAUGUUUUGACAAAAUCUUUUUCUUGUGGCUUACUGAGUGGUUAUACUUUAUACAGAAAAAUAAUUUCGAAGCCUACAUCAACGAUAAUUUAUCUAAGGAAGAGCAAUUCGAUGACCGUGUAGGCUCACCGAUAUUUUAGAUCAUAUGCUUAUAAUUCUAUUAUGAUGAGCACUAUUUUGACUUGGAUAGAUGUUGUAUGUAAAUGAUAUAUAUUAUUCGCUUAAUCAUUAAGAUAUAAAGAUACAGGGUUAUACAUAAUUACAAAUGAAUGUAUUACUCCUAUAAAACGAUAUGAUUUAUUCUAUUUAGUUUGUAUAUUUAAUGUUACGUUGACGAUUAUGAACUUUAGACAUCUACUCUUAGUAAUAGAUGAUGCAAAGUUAUUCAGCAUAAACUAACCCACGUAAAACUCUAUUUUUCAGAAUAAAUAGAAACUCCCCAAGGGCCUCCCUAUGAUAAACAACAAUAUAGUAGAAUAAAUACUAACUUCUGAUGGAAUAAAGAUAAAGUAUGUAGAAAUAAACACAAAUUCUUUAGAAUAAACAUAAACAGCCAAGAAUAAAUACAAACCUAAGGAGUUGCUCUAUGUUUUGUAGAGAAUCAUGUUAAAAUAAAUACAAACUAUCCCAAAAUAAAUACAAACUCUAUAUAAUAAACAGAAAUACUAUAUAAUAAAUACAAACUCUAUAGCAAUAAAUAUAAACCAUCCAGAAUAAACACAAACUUGGUCUUCAAAACUUGAGUCAUUCAAGAGUCCCGUAUAGUAAACAACAAGAGAAGAGGAUAAAUAUUAACUUUUGAUGGGACAAACACAAAUCCCAUAGAAAUAAACACAAACUCUCCAAAGUAAACAUAAACAGACCCAGGAUAUAUAAAUACAAACAUAGAAAGUUGCUCUCUAUCUUGUAUGAGACCAUGUCAGGAUAAAUACAAAUUACUCCAAAAUAAAUACAAACUCUAUAUAAUAAACAUAAACUACAUAUAAUAAAUACAAACUCUAUGGUAAUAAACAAAAACUAUCCAGAAUAAAUAUAAAUUUGGUGACUUUUGAAGGCCAACUUUAUAUUUCUGGACAGUUUUUAUUUAUCACCAUAGAGUUUGUAUUUAUUUUAAAAAAAUUAUUAUUAUAUAGAGUUUAUAUUUAUUUUAAAAUAGUUUGUGUUUAUUCUAGCAUGGUCCCACAUAAGAUAGAGAGUGACUCCCUAAGUUUGUAUUUAUCCUAUGUCUGUUUUUAUUUACUCUAAACAAGUUAUAUUUAUUCUCACAUACUUUAUAUUUAUUCCAUCAAAAAUUAGUACAUAUCCUCCUCUCUUGUUUAUUAUGAUGGGACCCUUAGAUGAUCCAAGUUUUGAUGGCUAAUUUUAUAUUUAUUCUGGAGGAUUUGUAUUUAUUGUCAUAGAGUUUGUAUUUAUUAUAUAAAGUUCCUGUUUAUUAUAUAGAGUUUGUACUUAUCCUGAAAUAUUUUGUAUUUAUCCUGAAAUGAUCCCAUGCAAGAUAGAGAGCAACUCCGUAGAUUUGCAUUUAUUCUGGACUUGUUUGUAUUUACUUUAAAAAGUUUUUUAUUUCUAUGGGAUUUAUAUUUAUCCCAUUAGAAGUUAAUAUUUAACCUCAUCUCUUACUGUUUACCGUGGAGAAACUUUGAAUGAUCCAAGUUUUGGAGACCAAAUUUAUAUUUAUUCUGGACGACUUAUAUUUAUUAUUAUAGAAUUUAUAUUUAUUAUAUCAAAUUUUUAUUUAUUAUAUAAAAUUUAUAUUUAUUUUGAAAUGAUUUAUAUUUAUCCUGACAUAGUCCCAUGCAAAAUAAAAAGCAACUCUAUAAUUUAUUUAUCCUAGGCUUUUUUGUGUUUACUCUGGAGAGUUUAUGUUUAUUCUUAUAUACUUUAUAUUUAUUCCAUCAAAAGUUAGUAUUUAUCAUUCUUGUUGUAUAUCGUAAUGGAAUCCUUAAAUGACCCAAGUUUUGGAGAUCAAGUUUAUAUUUAUUUAGGAUAGUUUCUGUUUAUUACCACAAAAUUUAUAUUUAUUUUAAAAAAUUUUAUUUAUUACAUGAAGUUUGUAUUUAUUUUUGGAUAAUAUAUUUAUCUUGACAUGAUCCUAUAUAAAAAAGAGAGAAACUUCUUAGGUUUAUGCUUAUCCUUGAACUAUUUGUGUUUACUUUGGAGUGUGUUUAUUCUCACAUACUUUAUAGUUAUUCUAUCAAAAAUUAGUAUUUAUCCUCAUCUUUUGUUGUUUAUCGUACUGAGACUCUUAAAUGAUCCAAAUUUUAAUGAUCAAGUUUAUAUUUAUUUUGGACGAUUUGUGCUUAUCACCACUAAAUUUAUGCUUAUUUUAGAAAGUUUCUAUUUAUUGCAUAAAGCUUGCAUUUAUUCAGAGGUAGUUUGUAUUUAUCUUGAUAUGAACCUAUGCAAGACAACAAUACAAUUCCUUAGAUUUAUGUUUAUCCUUAGGUUAUUUAUAUUUACUCUGAAAAGUUUAUGUUUAUUUCUAUAUACUAUUUUUAUUCCAUCAAAAGUUAGUGUUUAUCCUCUUUCGGACACAAAUUCAUAUGAUAAAGCAAACACAAAUUUAUAAAUAUAUAACAUUAAAAUUUAAAAAGUUAUAAAUAAAGUUAGUAUAACAACUGACAUGCUAUUGGUUUCAAAAUCUUAAAUAUAGAACAAAAAUCACCCUUCAAAAAUAAGCACAAUUAGCCUAUCAUAACCUCAGACACAAAUUCAUCUAGGAAACAAUAACUAAAUUCAAUAAAUAUAUGAUCACACCAACUGUAGAAUAGAAAAAUUAGAUGACCUACCAAUAAACAUGAUCACACUAAUCUACAAUAAGUUUAAAAUACCACAAAAAAUAAACUCAAAUGUCAUCAAAUCUAUUACAACAGCCAGAAGAUAAAAUAAUCAGUUCACCUAUUAUGAAAUAUAUUUAUACAUAAAAAUAAUAGUUCCAUUGCAGUAUAAUAGUUCUAUUGCAACUGACAUAAAAUUUUCAUUAUAGCAAAAAAGAUUAAUACAAAUUUAUUUACAAUACAACUCAAAUAUUUUGACAGAAUAUAAAUAUCUUGCAAAUGUAGAGCCAAUACACAUAUGCUCACAAAGCUGGUAUAAAGCAAACUACAAUGAUGAUGCCACUUCACGACCUUUAAUGAUUACCUAUGCAACAUAUCUGACAUGCAACUCCAGCAUGUGAGUAUCCGUAAUCGUGAUCUGAGCCUCCAUCAUCAUACUCUUCAUAAAAUACAUAACAUAGAUGGCAUAAUCAAAACCUACAAAAUAAAAUAUGCUCGUGGUCGGUAAGAUAAAUAGAUGACAUGAUGCAUUAAUAAGCAUAGAUGUGUAAUUUAGUAUGGACCAUCAUCUAAUACGGUGCAUUAGUUGGCACAAACCAUUAUUUGGCACUUGAUAAAAAAUUGUUGGACAAUAUUAUAAGCAAAGUAGGUAUCAUGCUUAAGGGGUUGAAAAUUGAAACAAUAAUUUUUCUAAUAAUAUAUGAGACAUGAUGCAUUAUUUGGUACAGUGCAUUAAUUCACAUGAACCAUUUUUGGCAUGGACUAUUAGUGGGCAUGUUUGGCAUAGACAUUAUUUGGGAUGGAGUAUAAUUCUGCACUGAUCAUUAUUUGACAUGCAUCAUUAUUUAGCACGGAACAUUACUUGCUACAAAAUAGCUUAGUUAGCACAUACAAUUACAUUAUUUGACACAUUCCGUUAUCUUGAAAACAAACAUGUUAUUUACAUGCAUCAUGUCAUUUAUAUGUAUCGUGCAAAAAUACUAACAAACAUAAUUAGAGUAUUUACCCCACACCCUACUAUAAGCAGCCGAUAUAAUGAAGCAGCCAACUAUUCAUAUCAAUAGAAUAGAUAUCUUAUGCCAUCUCAAUCAAUCAAGUCACCUACAAAUAUAAGAUUGCAAAUCAACCAUAUUGUUAGGAAUGCAUCAAUAUGUACAACAUUCCGUAAACACGGUUCAUUACUCACAAAUCUUCUGACGACCAACGUACUCUAUACUAGUUAUGGAUGUCUAUUGUCUGAAACAUAUGCUCUUUAGAUCCACAAAAAGCAAAUGCCAGUGUAUUGAUAAGCAUAUAGGCAUAAACAUCUACUUGGUUUCAACCAAUGAAUGAGGCAUUCAAAUAUAUGCCCCCUAAAUCCACAAAAAGCAAGUGCCAGUGUAUUUAUGAGCAUAUGGGCAUAAAUAUCUGCUUAACUUUAGUUAAUAAAUGAGUCAUAAAGUCUUGCAUAGGUUUAUCAGAAACAAAUACAAAAUAAGUAUGGUAAAGAAGGAUUGCAAUAUGAAGUAUGACAUACAAUGCAUUGAUAAAUCGAUCAAUACAAACUGCUGUAGAAGGAAUCAAAAAAUAUCUAUGACCUGCAUAGUCUAUUGUAAAAAAUAAGAAUUAACAAGCAUAUAUCUUUGUUUUAUUCAAAUUAGUAUACAAUCUUUAUAUCGACAUGGAUCAAAUUGCUGAAUAGGAUGUCAUGAACCUACGGUCGAUUGAUGACAUUGAUGUCAUCACUCCAAAUAAAUAACCUAUAUGAAAAAAUUAGUGUUAAAACUAGAAAGAAUCCAUUUUGUAGAUAUUAAAACAAAUUUAAAUUUCAUAACCAAGAAUUAAAUACUGAUCAACUUUUUGCCUUAAAAAAUCUAGAACAUACAUAUGUUCCCUAUUAUCCAGAAGCUGUAAGCCAAAAAAAUCAUGAUCGAUCUCAAAAAAUUCCUGCAUAUUGCAUGAGCAUGUCGAAUGUGCAUGAAGUACGAAUGUUCUAAUGAAUUACAAUACUUACCACAAUAUCAUCCCUUUUAUGGACCGACUUCUUUCUAGACUUUCUUAUAGGACCUGAAGUACUUGAAGUAGGGGGAUGAAGGGACUAUAUAAGAGAUAAGAGCCCCUAAAUACGCACUGUAUAAUCCACCUCUUGGUAGACUGUUGAUCCAUAUGCUCCUAGAGUACUAUUGAACUAUAGGCACUCACAAAAUUAAUAGACAACACAUCUGCCUCCAUCUCAUGAGUGCUCCCCUCCAUAUCCUUCCUCUCUUCUUGCUCUUCAAUGCUGCCUGCAGCUCAAUAAUAAACAUCUACUGAUUAGCAACAAUCCUUCAAAGCUUCAUCUUCUCGACAUCCUCUCAAGCCCUCUUCUUGCCGCAAAUAUUUAUGCAUAAGCUAUAAUUGAGGAUAAAUAGACAAUAAAUAGAUGAAUUAGAGAUAAAUUUUAAAAAUUAAAUAAAGUGAAAGAUCAAUAUUGUGAUAGUGCUACGUGCAUUAUUAGAUCUACUCUUUCUUGCCGUACUACUCGUUCCACUUUCAUCUCUCUUCAUCUGCUAGCUAAAAGGUUCCAUCUUAAGGAGCAACACAUCAUCGUAAUGGAUCUCUAAUAUGAAAAUAAAGACAAAACUAUUAAUCCCCAAAUCUUACAAAAAAAUAAAGAAUACCAAAUAUCAAAAAUAAUAAUACAUCUCCCUUUCUCAGGCCCUUCAAAAUCUCUUAACAGUGGGCUUAUUUUCUAAACUAGGAUUUCUUUUAGUUCAAAAUUCGAAGAAGCCAACCAUAAGUACUUGAUUUGACUAUACCUAUUCUCUCAAAAAGUCAAAUCUAAAAAAAAUAAAUAAUUAUUAAACAACAUAAUCAAUAAUUACGUAUACAAAUUUAAAAUAAUAGUUCUUAUGAAAUAAAUAGAUAAAUAAAUAAUUUAAUAUCUUUCUUACCAUCAAAAUUGUAAUGCAAUCGUUAAUGUAACUAGUGCUCUCUUUCACACAUCUCUCCCUUCUUUUUAGCUUUUCAGCAAUCGUACCAACCAAUCUCCUCUAUGGAGUCGAUAGAAGAGAAGAUCCAUGAUGUAAUACUAAGAUUCGAUAAAGAAAAAAAAAUCAUAUUUAGAAAGUACGCAAUAAACAAUUAUACCAUGGAUCAGAUGGCACUGGAAGAUAAAUCAGACAACAAUAUCUUGAUCCUAUUUUCCAAUAUAUCCCUCUCAACUAUCGACUCCAAAAAAUAUAUGAUACUAACCACACUUUGGGAAACCUUCUUUAGAGAAGUUAAUCUACGACUGUCCACUCCUGUAUAAUCAUUGAGAUGUUGAGCAUAUAAUGAAAAAGCAUCCGAUGUAUUAACAUCCUAUAGGCAUCUGUCAACCACUCUUAGAUGCCUCUGAUGAACUCGAUUUAUUUUCUCAGAUAGCAAUGAUAAUUGAUCAAUCGGAGGAGAGCUCUCUUUUGCUUCCUCAAACCUCCAGCUCUUUUUUCAAUUUCUGGAGGCCUUCGCACGAGCCAUCUACAAAAAACAAUGAAAGUCAGUUAUAAAUCACUUGCAUCUUACUAUAAAAAUUAUAAAAAAUAUAUUAAUAAAUUAAACAUCUUAUUACAAGAGAUGAUAAUUCAUUUUACACUUGCUAUGGCUCCUAAUAACAAUAUAUGAUCUUAGCAUAUUUUUAUAUAAGCAUACCGAGUAAAAUUUACAUAUAAUGCAAGAUCUAAAUAUGGCACUAUUGUUACUAGCUACAUGCAUGCAUAUAUUAUGAUCGGAAACAAACAUAUAUAUUAUCAUUGGAUCAACACCUAUAUACAUAUAUAGAUUAAUCAAUGUGAAUAUAUGCAAAUGUCUCUCUCUCUCGCUCUCUCUCUCUCUCUCUCUCUCUCUCUCCACACACACACACACACACUACUACUACUACNNNNNNNNNNNNNNNNNNNNUCUCUCUCUCUCUCUCUCUCUCUCUCUCUCUCUCUCCACACACACACACACACAUACAUCUACAUUAAUGCUCAAUAGUUAUUGUGAAUAUAAAUGUAUAAAAAGAUAUAAUCAUUUAGUUCAAGUAAGAUGUGAAGCAAAACUCUCUCAUGCGGUAAACAUAAAUUUGAUCAUGCAAUGCUAACAUAUUCAAUUUAGAAGUAAUGCAGUUAGAAUGGUGCAUUUAAAAAUUUCUCAAAAUGCCAUUAUACUUUGAAUUUUAUUGUGACGUUCUUCCAACCAAAGAAAAAAAUAAAAUUCAUCAUAUAUUUUAAAAUUAUUUGAUAAGGUUCAGUUGGAAUGAGAAUGGAGUUAGAUACCUUCUAGUGUGUGGCAUUGUAAAGAACAUUAGAUAUCUUCCACUGUAUUAUUUGACAAUACCAUGUAUAAUCAAUUUAUUUGUGACACCGAGUUAGAAAGAUUAUAGCCUCCAAGACAAUCUAGUCAAAAUUUCCUCCAAAAUUAGUCAUUUUGGAUGUCAAGAAUUAGCUCAAUAUCUCAAUACAAAAUUAUCUGGGUUGUCGAGGUUUUCAGUUAACACUAGAAUGUCAAGAACAGCAUGACGAACUGAAGGGUAUCAUUUCCAUUCAUGUCUUGGAGGAUUUUAGUAACUUUGCUAUACUUAGAAGAGCGGACAUUACCAAGAUCUAAAUAUUGAAGACUUGGAAUUAAUUACAAACAUUUGUGGGCUCCAAGUGUACUAUUUUUUCUGCUAUCUUCUUCUCAUUUGUCCCUCUCUAUUUCUUCCAUCACUUCACAACCCUAGUCAUGGAUAUAUUUACGUCAUUAAGGACUCAUUUGGUUGACGAAAAGUGGAGUAGGAAAGAGGUACUUUCUGAAAAGUGGACAGAAGAUCUCUUAUUGGUUGGAGUCUUAAAAGAAAAGAGUAAAUAAAAUUAUUUUCAUGAAAAGUCACUUUUCAUAUUUCAUGAAAAGUAGAAACAGAUGGAGAAUGUGGAUUUUAGCACUUCUCAUGGGAUGGAAAGUGGUACUACUUUGUUUUCUCCCAAAAUAUCCCUUUAGAUCAAUGGCUAAGAUUAUGCAAAAUAUCAAUGAAUAGUUAUGAUAAAAUACUGAAUAGUAAUAUUAUAUUAAUAUUAUCUUAAUAUUUAUAUGAAUAUAAUAUUAAUAUUAUAAUAUUUAUUAUAUUUAAUAUUAUUUUAAUAUUUAUACUAAUAUAAUAUUUUUAUUAAUAUUAAUAUAAUAUAAUAUUUAAUAUUAUAUUUAUAUCUAUAUUAAUAAAUUUAUUAUAUUAAAAUAUUAAUAUUAUAUUAAUAUAUAUAUUAGUAUUAUAUUAACAUAAUAAAUAAUUAUAAUCUAAUAUUAUAUUAUAAUAUAUUAAUAUUAUAGUUAUAUUAAUAUAAAUAUUAUAUUAAUAUUUAUAUAAAGUUUAAGAACAAAAAAAUAUGAUCUUAUAUCUAUGAAGGGUAUAAUAGGUAUUUUAUAUAAUUUUUUUAAGAAAAUGGAUGCUCGACCAAACAUAAAUUACUCUAUAAUAAAUCAUUUUCUCAUGAUCAACCAAACAUGUCAAAAUUCUAUUUUUAAAAAAAAUAAUUUUUUUUAAAAUUACUUCCUGAAAAGAAAAAUUUUUUUUGGGAACCAAACAAGUCCUAAAACAAAAGAAUCCUAUUAACCUUUCAAUACCUGAACAACAACAAAUAUAAUGUCAUCAACACCAUGCAAGUUAACUUAGUAUAUUCUAGCAUCCAAUGAAUGAUGCACCCUAAUGCUACUAUUACUAGACUUCAUACAACAGAACAUGUCAGUUAGAUGAUUGCACCAUAUUAAAGCAUGCAGAUCAUUGUGUUGCUUCAACAUAGCACUAUCCUCAUUGGUCAAGCUAAUACACUCAUUGCAAUCUAUUAUUUUAGUUGAGAUCCCAUCGGACCACACAUUGGAAGGUACCUAAUAUUCUUUAUUCAAUCAAAUAUUUACAUUAUGCAAAGGUACCAUACCAAUAUUCUUUAUAGUACCACAUAAAUGUACAUACAUAUACAAAUAUAUAUGUUACAUAAAUAUGUAUUUGUACACACAAUCCUCUCAAAUUGGAUUAACAAUAAGCAUGACUAAAAACAUGCAUAUAAUUAGUACAAACAAUAAACUAAUUUGGUACAAAAGAACCCACAGAGACAUACUCAAACAAGCAAAUGAGAUGAAGAUGAUGGAUACCUUUGGAUGAAAUUAGGCAACAGUAGAAUUUGAGGAACUCAUGAAGCAUCAAAAAUAGACCAAUGACGGUGGGGUUAGGAAAACUUCUAAGCAGAAGGGCCAACGACAAUGAGAAGAUGAUGAUGGAUAGGGUUUCAAAAAGCCUCGAGAAGGAUUGACAGCAGGAUGGAAUUUUGAAAAAUCCUGAGAAGAAGGGCCAACGAUGGUGGGUCGCUGCGGUGGGGUGGUGAGAAGUCUCGAUAAGAAUCGACGGUGGUGGGGUGACAGUGGUAGGGUUUAAGAAAGUCCCAAGAAAAAGGACCGAUGGCAAUGGAGUUGGAUUUGGAAGUCCCAAGAAGGCUGAUGGUGGUGGGGUGGCGAUGAUAGGGUUUGAAAAAGUCUCGAGAAGAACUAACAAUGGUGGGGUUAGAAAAGAAGAAGAGAGCUCGGACUGACAGAGCAGGAGGUUUGGAAGGAGAGUAGGAUGAUCGACAAAUGGAACUUCUCCUUUAAAUGGAGAGAUAUUUAUGACAACGGGAAAGAGUAGCUUCUGCCAGUGAGAAAAAGAGAUCAUCCUUUCAUGUUUUGCUGAUGAGAGAGAAAAAAUAGCAUUUGAAAGAGAGCUCAUCCCUUUCGUAUCUCAUCCCCAUUAAUACAUAUUUUUUUAUUAUUUUUAAACACCAUCUCAUCCAAACAAAAGGUUUAUAGGUCAGAGAGCUCAUCAUCUCAUUCGUAUCCUAUCUUCUCCAUUAAGACUUUUUUUUGUUUUCAAAUGUUAUCUCAACCAAACAAAAGCCAAUACAAUUUCAUCCCUCGUAAAUGAGUAUUUUUUUAAAAAAAUAAACCACAUCAGUCAAACGGCCAUGGGAGCCCCUUCGUUAGCUAAACAUGAGUGCAUCAAGAUCCACAUCAAUCCAAGGAUUAGGGAAUUGAUCAGAUUUGGGCUCAAAUCUGAUCAAUCUGAGUCCAAUCUAUAUACAUACAUGCGCCUAUAUAUAUAUAUGUGUGUGUGUGUGUGUAUAGACAUACAUACAUACUGUUGAGGUAAACCGACCGACCCCGACUUUGGUCUCCAUGACUCUGACUAUGCAUCGAUCGAACAGACAGCUCUGAUUCUUCAUUGACCGACCAAACUAAUUGUACCGAUCUACUAUCGGCUGAUCAAUUAAGAUCGAUCGACCGACUGAUAUUUGACUACCGACUACCGAUCAACGACAGAUGACUUGACCGUCGGCAUAAUAGAACUAAUAGCCGACAGUCGCUUAUAGAUUCUACCAAUAUAUGGUCGGUCAGUCAACUCGGAUAUAUCAUAACCGUCACAAACGAUUACCGACCGCAUAUCACAGCGCGAUCAGUGAAAAUUAACGAUUCACUACGCGAUUAUGAUCCAAUGAUUCAGCACCAUAAAACAUGGGACUACGUCUGACGGUUACGAAAAUCUCAUUUAUAAAAGGGGAUAAGAGAAAUAGGAUUGGUAAGCCAACAUUGGGUUAAAACUCUGCUAUUGCUUAUAUUCAACUCCUGUUCACCAACUUCCCUCUCUGACUUAGGCAUCGGAGGAUCUCCGUCGGAUACAAAUUCGAUCUGCAUAGAUGCUAUUUUGCAGGUGUUCAUUCCCGAUGACAGGCGAUGGAGAGUUGGCCGCAACAGAUUGACGCAUCAGGUAGGGGGCAGCAAUCGUAUUCACUAUAGUGAAAAUCAGAGUCCAGCAUUCUACUGCAAUCGGGUCGGCGAGACACUCAUCCCGUCGAGAAGAGGUUCCUCCCCCUCCUCUAGUAGCAAAGCCUAGUUCUUCACGUCCUGUGAUCACCACGGACGUCCAGAUCGCUGCACUCAUGCAGUAGAUGAAUGUCCUCACGGAGACAGUCAAAAGUCUCCAACAGCAAUAAACCCAGCAACAACAGCCACCGGCAGAGCAACCGAUGGCACAAUCAGUGCCGUCCAGGCACAAUCAGUGCCGUCCAGGCACAGCCUCGUCAUCCACGACGAUCACCAUCUCCUUCUCUGGAGCGACCAUCUCGACUUCUCCGUCGAGACGAACAACGACAUUCUCGACACUCUCAGCGUGCCACUCAUCGUUCCCGACAUUCCCUCUCUCCUUCCCAUCUCAAUAGUAUUAGAAAGGGGAAUCAACCGCGAACGCCCUUCAUGUCUCCUUCAAACUCGUCGGGUGGUUCUACCUCCAGAGUUUUCCAAUGGCAAUCGAUGAUUAUGAAUGUAAAUUUUAGUAGAUCAAUCGCCAACUCGCUCAGCUUCAAAUGGAAGAUCGGAAGUCCUCCAACGACUACGACUUUCACACCACCCAGCCGCUUUCUCAGCACGUCUUGGACCAACCGAUUCCAUCUCAGUUCAAGAUACCUUAGGUGGAGCCAUACGACAGAUCCACCGAUCCGAUUGACCACCUUGAGAGCUAUGAGGCUCUCAUGACGAUUCAGCGGACGACUGACGUCCUCUUAUGCACUAGCUUCCCGAUAACUCUUCGAAAAGCUACUCGAGCCUGAUACUCUGGGCUUCAAUCAGGAAGCAUAUAUUUUUUCGGACAGCUAGAAUAUUCUUUCGUGGCUCACUUCAGCACCAGUCGAAGGCCACUAUGAAUUUCUGAUAGUCUCUUCUCGAUUAAGCAAGGAGAGACUGAAACACUUCAAGAUUUCGUGGCUCGUUUUAAUACAGCCACACUUGAGGUCAAAGACCUCAAUAAAAACAUAACUAUCUCAACCAUAUAAAGAUGUCUGAAGGGAUCUCGAUUCACAUAUUCUUUGGACAAAACUCUUCCUCGAACUUAUGUCGAACUUCUGGAGCGUGCAUACAAAUAUAUGCACGCAGAUGAAGGAGCUUCUGACCAACGUCAGAAAGAAAGCAAAAGUCAGAAGAAGAAAUAGAAGAAGGAAGAAGCUCCGAUCGAAUCAAAUCGGCCACUGUCUAAUAAGUGAGCUUCACCCCAACGACGGAGUCUAAGGUCGGAUUCGGCAGGUAUGACUCCGAUACUCCUCUUUCCACUCCUCGUGUGCAAAUCUUUAUGGAGAUCGAAUGAGCAAAAUAUCUACGAUACCCCCUACCGAUGAAAGCGUUAUCGAGGAACCGCGAUCGGAGGAAGUAUUGUCGGUUUCAUCAUGAUCACAGUCAUGAUACCGAACAAUGCAUCCAGCUCAGGGAUGAGAUAGAAGCCCUGAUUUGACGAUGCUACCUUGAAAAAUAUCGAAGAGAUCCGCCGACUCAACCUCCUGCUGAUCGACGACCUCAACUGCAAACUGAGGAAGCUGUAAAUAAUCAACCGACUGCAGAGGUGAUCAAUAUGAUCUCCGGACGAUUGAACGGGGGGGCAACUUUCAAAGAUGAGUCGGCAAAGCGACGACGACUCGACAAUGUAAUAACUUUUUCAGAAAAUAUUCGAAGAAUUCAGACUUUCCAUGAUGAUGCCAUUGUUGUUUCGGCAACAAUAGCGAACUAUGAUGUAAAAAAAAUUCUUGUAGAUAAUAGAAGUUCAAUUGAUGUUUUGUUUUAUUCGACUUUCUCCCGAAUGUGACUGCCAACUGAUCGACUCAGAAGAGUCUCGACGCCACUGAUCAGCUUCACAAGAGAUGCUGUCACAAUGGAGGAAGAAAUUUCUCUCCUUAACUGUUGGGACCGAACUACAACAGAACACUCUUUUCAUAACGUUCACGAUGGUUCGAGUACCUUUGACUUAUAAUACCAUACUCGGACGAUUUAGGCUUAACGCUCUUAGAGCAUUGGUUUCGACAUACCAUUUAUUAGUUCGAUUUUCGAUAAGAUAUAGAGUCGAAGAGAUACGUGAAGAUCAACAACUCGCCCGAUGUUGCUUCUUUGUCUUCAUCCAAAAUAAUAAAUCUGAAGACUCUUUGCCUGUUGACGAAUUAGACCAAAAAAAAAUCAGAAGAGGGGUGAACCAGCUGAACAAUUGAUUUUCAUCCUGUUAAAAGAAGAUCUCGAAAAAACGAUCUGAAUUGGAUCACAAUUAUCCGACUUAGAGUGGCAACAACUAAUAAAAUUACUCAGAGCCAACGCCGACAUUUUUACUUGGUCGGCCACCGACAUGCACGAGAUUCCUUCAGAAAUAAUAACUCACCGACUUAACAUCAAUCCAAAUGUUAAGCCGAUGAGACAGAAGAAGUGACCUUUUGCUCCUGAAAGAUAAAAGAUCAUUGAUGAAGAAGUCGACAAACUCCUCGCAGCAGGCUUCAUCAGAGAAGCUACAUAUCCCGACUGGCUUGCCAAUGUGGUAAUAGUAAAAUAAGCCAAUGAAAAAUAGAGGAUCCGCAUCGACUAUACCGAUCUGAAUGUAGCUUGUCCGAAGGACAGCUUUCCGUGGUCGAAGAUUGACCAAUUGGUUGAUGCGACUUCUGGCCACCGACUUCUGAGUUUCAUGAAUGCCUUCACUGGAUAUAAUCAAAUCCGCAUGGCACCAGAAGAUGAAGAGCACAUGAUUUUUGUGAUCGACAAAGGCAUAUACUAUUACAAAGUAAUGCCUUUUGGUCUGAAAAAUACCAACGCUACCUAUCAACGGCUCGUCAACAAGAUCUUCAAGACACAGAUCAGAUAAAAUAUGAAAGUAUAUGUGGACGACAUGCUGAUGAAGAGUCUCUAAACUUCAGAUCACAUUUAGGACCUAGAGGAAGCUUUCGACACACUCCGACGGCAUCAGAUGAAAUUAAAUCUGACUAAGUGUGCAUUUAGGGUAACCUCCAGAAAAUUCUUCGAAUUUCUUGUUUCACAAUGAGAGAUCGAGGCUAAUCCCGAAAAAAUCAAAACCAUUAUCAACAUGAAACACCCGAGUUCAAAGAAAGAAAUACAGCAACUCAAUGGAAGGAUUGUCGCACUCAGUCGAUUUAUUUCUAGAUCGACUGAGAGAUGCUUGUCAUUCUUCAAAACUUUGCGACAGACGAAAGAUUUCUCAUGAUCGGAUGAAUAUCGAUAAUCUUUCGAAGAUUUGAAACAGUACUUGGUUUCUCCACUUUGCUCACAAAACCAAAGGUCGGAGAGACAUUGUAUUUCUACUUGGCAACUUCAGCAGAAGCAGUUAGUUCGGUGCUCGUCCAGGAGGAUGAGAACUGAAUCCAUCGACCAAUCUACUACACCAGCAAAGUACUUCACAAUGCCGAAGUCUGAUACUCAAGGACGGAGAAAAUGAUCUACAUCCUAAUCAUAUCGGCAUGACUUCGUCCGUACUUCCAAGCCCAUCCGAUUGUAGUUCUGACAGAUCAGCCGCUGAAGACAAUCUUACAUCGAUCUGACACGUCAGGUCGGAUGGCAAAGUGAGCAGUGAAACUUGACGAGUUCGACAUUCAAUGUCGCCCACGACCGUCCAUGAAGACGCAAGUCCUAGCCAAUUUUAUCGCCGAAUGUACUAUAUUCGAUAAUAAAUCAGAAGAUACAGAUGAUAACACAAUAAAAGAGACUACGACUCUCUAACCCGACUUAAAGUCAACCUGCGUGCUGCACAUUGAUGGAGCAUCUAAUGCACAAGGUAGUAGAGCUGGCCUCAUACUCACGAAGUCCGAAGGUAUAGUCAUCGAGUACACCCUUCGAUUCAACUUUAAAGUCUCAAAUAAUCAAGUCGAAUAUGAAGCACUUUUGACCGGCUUGAAGAUAGCUAAGGAGCUUGAGAUUUACAGUUUGAAGAUCUUCACCGACUCAACUGAUCGCUGGACAGGUCAAAGAUGAAUUUGAGGCUCGCGACCCCAUUAUGAUGAAGUAUCUUCAGAAGGUGAAAGAUUUUACAGUAAGCUUGAAAUAUUUUGAGAUCUUUCACAUUUUCAAAAUCAAAAAUACUCGAGUCGACGUAUUUUCACGACUGACUACUACCGCUUUCAACUCGCUGGAUCGGACAUUUGUUGAAUACCUCGAACAGCCGAGUAUUGAUAAAAUCGAGGAGGUAUUGCAACUCACUAUUGAACCAAGCUGGAUGGAUCCGAUCGUUCAAUACCUGACCGAUGGGACCUUUCCUGCGGACUCCUCAGAAGCUAAACGACUCCGAUGGAUGGCCUCUCAAUAUGUAAUAAUGAAUGGUUAUCUUUACAAAAGAUUAUUCUCUCUUCUUGCUGAAGUAUUUAGGACCUACAGAUGCCGACUAUGCACUUAGAGAAAUGCACGAAGGGAUUUGCGAAAAUUACUUGGACGGCAAGUCUCUAGCUUAUAAAGUUCUACGACAAGAAUAUUAUAGACCCACCAUGAAAAAAGACGCAGCUGAACUCAUCCGAAGGUGUGAACCAUGUCAGAAGUAUGCAAAUAUACAACAUCAACCGGCUAGUCAGCUGACGUCGAUUGCAGCACCAUGGCCCUUCGUACAAUGGGGGAUUGACAUACUUGAUCCUUUUCCUCCGACAUCUGGUCUGAAAAAAUUCACAGUGAUCACUAUCGACUACUUUAUCAAAUGGAUAGAAGCCGAACCUCUGACGCAAAUCAUUGAAAGCAAGAUGAAAGACUUCAUUCAAAAAUUUAUCAUUUACAGAUUCAGUUUGCCACACACCAUCAUCACCGAUAAUGAUCGACAAUUUGAUAACCAAAAUUUCAGAGAAUUUUGUACGAAAUUUCAUAUUACGCACAAAUUCACGUCGGUCAACCAUGCACAGUCAAAUGGCGAGGUGGAAGUAACCAAUCGGACAAUCCUACACGGACUAAAAACCCAACUGAACGAAGCCAAAGACCUCUGCGUAGAAGAAUUAUAUCCGAUCUUAUGGACGUAUCGAACGACUCCCCGCAUAUCGACUGGAGAAUCUCCUUUCAACUUAGCUUAUGAGACAGAAGCAAUGAUACCACUGAACAUCGGAUUGCCGUCAACAAGAGUGAAGCAAUAUAGUGAGCCGAGCAACUCCGAACAUCGGAGAGCCGACUUAGAUCUUCUUUCAGAACUCCGACAGCAAGCUCAAAUUCGGAUGGCUACAUAUCGGCAAAGAAUAGCCCGGUAUUACAACCCAAGAGUCAAGCCGAAGGUCUUUCGACCAGGAGAUUUGGUCUUAAGAAAGUAGAAGUCUCAAAAUCCUUGGAUCAAGAAAAAUUAUCCCCGAACUAGAAAGAACUUUACAAAAUAUCCGAAACUCUUAGACCGGACGCAUAUCGACUAGAAACUCUUGAAGGAUCGACGAUUCUCCAAACAUGAAAUACCGACAAUCUGAAGAUGUAUUAUCAAUAAAGUCGUUGAUAUGUAUAUUAUUUAAAAUAUAAUUAAAAUUUCAGAAUCGCAAGCCUUUGAUAAGUUUUAUCAAUUACUGACUAUAUGUCGACUUUCAUUGUCAAAAUCGAGCUAUCUACUGUACUUUGACACGAAGUUUAUCUCAGCUUCCACUAUAAAAAUCAAAGAAUCAAUUGCUUCGAUGACGACUGUAUUUUGAUUUUCAUGCAAAAACUGACAUACCGAUUGCAAUCUCAACCGACAUCGACCACACAGGCUUUCACCGCAAAAGCCGAAUCGUCGAUUACACUUCGGUUCUCAAUGUUGGCUCUCCAUUGUAAAAGCUUACUAUCGUCGAAAGACUAAUAUGCUGAUUUAGUCCCAACUAAGUGAAACGAAAAAUGCCAAAACGACCAAAGUUGGAUUGAAAUUAUACCGACUAGGCUACGGCCAGUUGAGGGAUAUUCGACUUGCCAUCGAUUAUCAGAUAAUUCGACGUACAAAUUCGAUCAAAUAUCGGGCACAAAAUAUUCGACCUACAAUCGUUAUUCUAAUUUUUAUUAAGUACGUCAAAAUGACUACACGACUGAUGGACAUUCUACAAAUCCUAUCGAAUGAUUGGGUUGCCGAUUAAUGUUCGAUGGUUAUUCUACAUUGCAACAAAAUUGUGGACAAGUAAAACAAGAGCCUAAACUUAAAAGGAGAAUACUUUCAUUCACUAUCAAUAAAGGAGUUACAAAAUUGGAUCGAAGUCUGACUACAAGUAUCAGAUUACAGAAACAAAAAAAAAAGGAAUACACCGACUAAGCUUCAUCAUUAUUCCAGUUUCUUUGCUCGGGUGUAGCAUCAUCGACUUGAAUGAUUUUGGACCCAAUCGGUGCUUCUUCUUGAGUCGGAGCAGCUUCUUCUUCAGCAAUUCCGCCUUCCGAUCUUAGAGGGACGAUGCUGCUUAAGUCAAGGCUCGAGCAUAAUUUUUCAACCGCAUCUCACUCGUCUUCAUACCCGACGCAGUACGAAGCGAAGCCACUUUCGAGGAUCUCUUGAAUUCUUCCGAACCUUGAAAAUCCUCGACUGUCCAACCCAGUGCUUCUCUUGCCGACUCUGCUUCCGCCUUAGCCAAAUUAGCAUCGGCUUGAGCAAAGGACAAUUCUUCUUCGGUCAGUGCCAACCUUUCCAGACUGGUCCGAUGACGUCCACGUUCGGCUUCGAGUUCUUCGAUGCAUCCGUCUCGCUCUCAUCGAAGCUAGUGGAUAGAAUGCUUCUUGCUCUUGACCUGUGACUCAAUAGCCGAAAUAGCCCCGUGAGUCGACUUAAGUUCGGCCUCCGAGGAUGCCAAGUCAUCGGUUAGUCAAGAAACCUCCUUCUGAAGUUUAGCUUCCCGCUUUGUCGCCAACUUAAGUUGUUCAAGUGCAGCCACUUUCUCAGCAUCGACGGCUGCCAUCUUAUUCUUCCACGCACUACGGAUGUCAAUGAACUUCGUAUAGCCGACCUCCAAAUCAGACAUGUCGUGGAUCAACUGCAGACAGAGGAUAAGUCAGAUUUAAAAAAAAAAAAGAAAGUUUACCAAAGAGACUUACCCUGAUGAUUGUCGGAUAAAAAGAUAAAAAUAUCUCAACCACCAACCGUUUCCUCCGACGCUCCCGAUCAGCCGGAAGAAGAGUCGUCUGGCACAAUCGCUUGGCCAGUACAGAAUUAACCAGGACUGAUUCAUCGAUGGGCACUUGGAAGUCGAAGUAUACCACAUGGCCCUCCGAUGUUGCAUCAUCCGCUGAUACCAUCAGAGCUUUCCCCUAGUUUGCUGUCGGCGGCCCCAUGUUUGAAAAUGAGGGAAAGCUUGAGCUUGACUGCACCCCAACUGAAAGAGCAAUUGGCACAGUUGCAGAUUGUUCAGGCUCUCUUGUCUCGGCCUAAACCUCCUCAAGUGGUGAGAUUACCGAUGUUGUUUCGGUAGUUCCCCUCGCCGCCCUUCCCUCGGACGACGCAGCAGGGAGCACUGUCGGAGCUAACAGUGCCAAGACUGAUUCGAGAACCAAUGCCGAUGGGGCAUCGAAUUCCAUGGUCGAUGUUGAAAUGCCGACUGAAGUUGGUGCUUGAUGCCUCUUCGGCAGUCGCGAAGGCCCAACCUCAAAUGCCGCCCUCUUCUUGAAAGCGUGCUGACGAAUGUAGGCAUUCGACACUCGUACCCUCUGCUGCAUAGCCAUAAUUACAAUGGAGGUCAAUACAAUUCAGCAAGUAAAAGAAAAGUCAGAAAUAAUCGACCAACUAUACUAUACCUAGACGAAGAAUCGAACUAAAGCCGGUGUCAUAAAGGGCCUGUUCGGUUACAAGCUCUUUCUAUUUCAAGACUGACAUGUCUUUCAACCGGUGAAAGUCCUCCUGAUCAUCGACCUCUACUCGACUGUUGUCGUUGGGACCGGUUCGUAGAUCGCCCCAACGAAAAGAAAAAUUCUAAGGAAAAGAAGAAGAAGCAAAGAAAAACUGAUUCUUCCAUCCAUGAAUGGACGAUAGAAGACCGAUAAUAAAGGAAAGACCUUUUCGGAGGUUGAAGAACCACCACCCUCGGACCUUCGGAUGAGGUCCGAGGAUGAAGAAAGUUCGAAAAAGAGAAGGACGGGGCAUGGUCAGCAACAUCCGACACAAUAAAACAAAACUAAUUAUCAAUCGGACCGAGUUCGAUGCUAGCUGAGCCGGAUAAAAUCCGUAAUAAUCCAAAAUAUUUCAGACAAAUUUUGAAAAUCGAAGAUCCAUCCAAAGAUCUUCGACGUAGAAGGCCACCUGGCCCGAAGGUGGGUUAUUCACCCGACCAUCGGCCUCAGGGGUGAAAAGUUGAAACUGCUCCAAGAUACAAAACUACUCCCGAAAUCGUUCAACGUUCGGUUCCGAAAGUGAAGAGACCUCCACAUCCGGACUCGACUGAGAGAUUUAUCAGUCGGAUUCUCCGAUCGAUCUUCCUGAGAAGAAGAAGCCCUAGUCUUGAGAACAACUCUGAAGAAGACAGAGACUUUAGAGGAAAGGACUCAAAAGAAAGAUGAAGUUGACCUGAAAGUUGGGAGCGAUAAUCUUAGACGUUGAGGCAACAAUCCGACAGAAUCCCAACACCAAAAGCAGUGAAAAGUGAAAAUAUGACUGAGAGCGACCCUUUAUAUAGGAUCCCUCAACCGUCGAGAUGAAGAUGGUUAAAUCGAAGAUCUUUUAGAUGACGACACAUGGCAAUAUCUAGACCAAUCAUUGAUCGAACGGUUCGACGCAUUUGUCCUAGAUUGAGUCACGUCAUCUCUAUCCGCGUGAUCAAUUUCGAUCCAAUAACAUUCGGAUACGUGAAACAAAUCUACUUGUUAGAAUCAUAUCAUCCGACGUCGAAUUGACUUUUCGAAACGACGCCUCACACUUACAACUGAUAUCGAAUCAUCCGAUCAGUGUGACAGACAACUGUACCUGCCAACACGAUAAAAUAAUCGAUCACUCGUAUCUCAGAGAAAACGACAUCAAAAUCGAAGCUUGAUGUGAUAGAACUCUCUUCAUCCAACGUGAUAAAUCACGUGACAGUUCACACGUCGAAUCACUUUGGACUUGAGAGUGAGGGGCAACUGUUGGGAUAAACCGACCGACUCCGACUUUGGUCUCCAUGACUCUGACUAUGCAUCGAUCGAAUAUACAGCUCCGAUUCUUCAUUGACCAACCGAACUAAUUACGUCGAUUUACUGUCAGCUGAUCAAUUAAGAUCUAUCGACCGACUAAUAUUCGACUACCGAAUAUCGAUCAAUGACAGACGACUUGACCGUCGGCAUAACAGAACUAAUAACUGACGAUCGCUCAGAUUCUACCAACAUAUGAUCGGUCAGUCAACUCAGAUAUACCAUAACCGUCACAAACAGUUAUCAACCGCAUAUCACGGCGCGAUCAGUGAAAAUUAAUGAUUCACUAUGCGAUUAUGGCCCAAUGAUUUAAUGUCAUAAAAUACGGGACCAUGUCCGACGAUUACGAAAAUCUCAUCUAUAAAAAGAGAUAAGAAAAACAUGGCUGGUAAGUCAAUUCUGGAUCAAAACUCUACUAUUGCUUACAUUCAACUCUUGUUCACCAACUUCCCUCUCUGACUUAGGCACCAGAGAAUCCUCGCCGAACACAAAUCCGAUCUGCGUGGAUGCUGUUUUAUAGGUGUUCGUUCCCGAUUACAAGCGACAAAAAAUUGACCGCAAUACAUACAUACAUACAUACAUACACAUAUAUAUGCAUAUGUAUAUGUAUGUACACAUACAUACAUACAUGCAUACAUAUAUAUAUAUAUAUAUAUAUACAUAUAUAUAUACAUAUAUAUAUAUAUACGUAUACAUACAUAUAUACAUACAUACAUACAUACAUACAUACAUACAUACAUACAUACAUACAUACAUACAUACAUAUAUAUAUAUAUAUAUGCUAGGAUUGAGAUUUGUUGGAAAAAAAAUUAUGCUUCAAUGUCCAUUAUUUUGCAUAAGGAUGGCAACAAAUGGUUUAUUAAUAAUGGAAAACGUUGGUGUCACUUUCCCACAUCACCAUUCACUUAACAAAAAAAUCAUAAGUCAUAAAAGUUUUUGCAUAUAUACCUUUCAGGAACAGCUUAUUUGCUUAUUAUAGGAAAAUGAAGAGCACUUAUACGUACUUCCACAAGUGCGAAACUUGCAUAUAUAACCCUCCAAAACUCUGAUAAUUGUAUAUGUGCUUCUGUAGAAUAAUUUGAAAAUUGCAAACAUGCCCAUGAUUAGGUUUCAUUCUUCAAGUAAGAGGCAAUGUACUAUAUUAUUCUACCAUUAUANNNNNNNNNNNNNNNNNNNNAAUUGAAGUUUGAGGUUUCUUUAUUAUUGGUUUUUAUUUUAUGAUAUGCCUGCAUGUAAGAGCCCGUUAGGUUUGGUGUAGCCUCUUUGGGCCAUUUCGGUUAAAACGGAACACGCCAGCUUGAAUGUUUUGAUGGAGGCGAAAGCCACCUGUCCUAGGUGAAAGCUACGCAUAAAGAGCUUACCGCAGGAAUUUACAGCCAGCUCCACUUUGGACCGAAAUAAUGCCUAAAGAAAAGCCCAGUUGGUCCCAUUUAAGUAUUGAUACUAAGUUACAGGCAACCAAACAUGCCCUAAGGCUUUAGGAAUCUAUACAUAUUUAUGAGCGAACACCUCGUUGCCCGGUUUAGUAAGAAUCAACGAAUAGAUGUUGAAACAUGAAAUUUUUUUUUGUGCACAUAAUGUGAAACAUUCCGCAUCGUCCUAUUAGACCACAUAAUCAUCAUUUUCUAAUACACAUUUAAUAUCUAUAAUUCUACUUUUUCAAUUCAAAUUUUAAAUGAUGAAAAUAUUUCUUUCUUUUCGAAAAAAUUAUGACAUUCUAUGCUGAUAUUAUAAUAUUCUGCAUUGAAAUUAUGAUUUUCUAUACAGAAUGUCAUAAUUUUUUCACAGAAUAUCAUAGAGAAAAAAAUAUUUUCAUCAUUGAAAAAUUGAUGAUAAUUUUUCAUUGACGAAAAUAUCUUUUCCUCUUUACGAUAUCCUGUGAAAAAAUUAUGACAUCAUAUGCAAAGAGUCAUAAUUUCAACGCAGGAUGCUAUAAUACCAGCACAAGAUGUCAUAAUUUUUACGAAGAGAAUGACACUUUCAUCGUUCAAAAUUUCAAACAAAAAAUUAAAACUACAUAUAUUAAAUAGAUAUUAAAUACAUAUUGAAAAAUAAUAAUCAUAUAGUUUAAUAAGAUGAAAUGGUGCGUUCCACAUUAGAUUUUCCACGUCACAAGCAGUGCACAAAGAAAUUCGUGUUGAAACAUUGACGCUGCUUCAAGUUAAAUAUUGUUCUGGUUACCUUUAGCUUUCAAUAUAUCCUUUAAAAGUAUAAAUAGAUCCAUGUAGAACCUUUACAUUAAUUGCAUUGCAUAAAUUUUGAUAAUUCAAAAACAUUAUAUUUGAUUUUUGCAUGCUAGAAAACUAACCAGCCUUUAUUUUUUUCUGUUUUUUUUAAUUCCAUUUAUACAUCCUGUUUUCAGCCCUCUAGAAAUAUUUCUCUGUUCAAAAGCAAACGCAAGAAAGUUCGUAGAUCCAACUGACUCAAUUAGUUUCAUACUAGACCCAACCUAACCCAACACAGAAAUAUGUUUCUCCAAAAGCAUGUGAGCUCUUCUUUCUGAAUCGAAGGAAAAGAAUUUAGCUUACAUAUUCUAAUUGCGUCUGCCAUUCUCAAUGUGAUAAAUCAAUAAAACGUCCAGAGCAUAGCUAACCGCUCACCGCUUGCGUAUGGGUGCAUAUUGGUCAAAAAGUCUCGCAUCAUCGUCCCUGAACUUCUCUUGCUCAAAUUUGGGCGACUUAAGAGGCUACAAACAAGCUCAUGUUAUAUGGCCAAGGGGCUCCGACGCAAGAAAGUUCGGCAAUAUCAACUUGGGUAGUCAUGGUAGAAAAAUAUUUGAUGAUCCUUCGGAACCUCUUCGCAUCUUUACGCCCCAUUUGGAAAGGGAAACGGGACAUUGGUUAUAAAUAUUGUUUGUACCGGAUAGUUUUUAAUCUUGGUUAGGUUUAGUUGAGCUGGGUCCUUUCAUUUCUUCCCACGGGAAGUGAGGCAGUGUAAUGCUUUUUGUUGCCGCCAGAAAGAUGAUCUAGCUUAGACCAUUAAGUUGAAGUCAGGAAAGAGAGAAGUAGUGAUCUCCAGAUGACUAAUCGAGAUCUCUGGGAUGCACACGAACUGGCACCUAAACCUCGAUCGAGUCCUCAAGUCGAACCCUAUAAAACCACCAAAGAUAGGAGAAAUCCUCGCGUCAAAUGGAGGAUUCCCGACGGCGAAUCCUCCAAUGCUUAAAUCAGUCUUCCACGGAAGCAAACAAAAAGAUCUGAGAUUUCGAGUUAGGUUUAUGAUGAUCAAGAUUAAGUAUAAGGUGGAAUAGGAGAUGAAGAGAUGGAAUGCAAAGGUCCAACGGGCUCCGAAUGAUGCUUAAAAUGUACCAGUAGAUUUCGAGAUGGGUUCAAAGUAUAUAGAAGAGACGAAUCUAGUGCGUAUGAAGUCCAUUCCCGGAAGAUGCCAUGCGAAGCAAGUGUUCACUUAUCUAGAGGAUUCAAAAAUCUUGAAAUUUAUGGACGAAGGUAGGUACCGUCGCUUGGAGGACGCAUACCAUUCCUCCCCCUAAAGCCCGCGAAGGUACAUUCAAGUUGUUAGGAAAUAACAGCUUGCACAUCCUGAGUUUAUUAAGGUUGCAUAAUGGGGGAGCAAGGCUGAUAGUUUGUAACCUAAUGGAUGGAAGACUCCAGAAUUCUGCUAAUACGGCCGCAAGAAUCCAUGUGACAGUGAUUUGUUGGCCAUUCUGGCAUCUAUCAACAAAGACGCACAUAGAGCCGUAUUGAGGUGCCAGUGCUAUAAUGGAUAGAAUAUUCUAAAUGUAUCAGUUGCCCCCCACUCCUGAGAUCAAGACGCCUUUUAGCUCGGACGAAGAAAAUAGAGGAUAACUUCAAAUACACCAUGGUGUUGACGAUCAAAGUUUCGAACCAAAGCCCUUACUCUCCGAGGCCAAUGAGGGACGAACCUUGCCAGCCAAGAUGCACCAAAGCCCUUACUCCAGAUCAAAGUUUCCAAGAUGGGCUUCGAAUAACCUAUCAAAAAAAGUGAAGAAUUUUGACAUUACAUGCCGUCUGAGGAGCUGAUUGGACACGCGCAUUUGUAGAGGACAUGCGCUCGUCCCUUCUUUCGAGAAAAUAAUUAUCACGGUAUGCAUAUUGUUCACUGCAGCGAUUGUUCUGCAAUAUUUAUCCGUACGAUGCUUUGUCGUCCAAUAAAGAGUUGACAUAUGAAUGUCGAUCAGACCAUCCAUCUAAAUUGCCAUCUUAUGACCAUCAUACAGGAGAGACGAGCGUCGCCUAGCGAUCCUUGUUUGCAAAGCAACAGCGGAAAAAAGGGUGCUGUAACUGUCAUAAUUCCCGAACAAUCUAAACGCACCUCCACAGGCCCUAGGGGUAGAAUGACACGUAUUCUCCAAAUGAUAGGUACCCACCUUUGUUUCUAAACUUCAAAUUUUCUGGACGCUCCAGAUAAGUGAACACUUACUCUGCAUGCCAUCUCUCGAUGAUAGACUCCAUAUGCACUAGAUUCGUCUCUCCCACAUACUCUAAGCCCAUCUUGGAACCCACCAAUACACUCCAAGCAUCAUCUGGAGUCCGCCAAACCUCCACACUGCAUCUUUCCAUAUCUAUUCCCCCUCAUAUUCAAUCCUAAUCAUCAUAAAUCCAACUCAAAAGCUCAUACAUCUUCUAUUUGCUUAUGCGGAAGACUGACUUAGAUAUUGGAGAGUCCGCCGCCAACUCAAGGACUCAAUUAAGGACCAAACAUUGACUCGUGAGCACCCUAGAGAUCUCGACUACCCCUCCAAAGACCACUGCGUCUUUCCUUCCCAACUCCAGCUCAGCAGCCUAAAUCAGAUUAUCUCCACAGCAAUAAUACUAUUAUUCAAUGUAAUGAUUACAAUUUUGAUAAUAUUGUGUCCAAACGUCAGAAGGAAAACAAGAUGCUGUUUGAAUAUUGCAUGAGCAUAAGCAUAUAAAAAAUUAAUUUUUUGUCUCAUAUUGGACAAGUUUUCCCAUCCAAAAAGAGAAAUAAUAUAAUAUUAGUAGACAAAUCUUAAAGUAAUAUUGAUGUGACAACACAAUAAAUAUUAAUAUAAUGUGAUAUAAUAACAUUAAUAUAUUAUAUAUUAUAUAUUAUAUUCAAAAAAAAUAUCUAAGGAAUGUUUGGUUGGAAAGAAACUGAAAUCUAGAAUCAAAAUGAAAAUGGAUGUUUCCAUUCCAACUAUUUGGUUGAAAAAAAUUUCAUUCUGAUUUUGAUUCACACAUAAAAUGAAAAUGAUCCAAUCUAUCUAAAAUUCAAUUGCUAUUCUCUUCGGAUUUCGAUAAAAAAUCAAACACUUUAACAGAUUUAGCCAUUCUGAUUUCAAUCCAUUCCGAUUUUCAUUCUAAUUAUGAAUCAAAUACCCUCACCAUCUUCCUCAACCACCCCCCCCAGGGAUAGUACAGUCGAAUUCGAAUCCCUAAUUAUCGAGCCAAGGAAACCAAAAUAUACCGUACAAUGUCACAAUACAGGUAUCAAAGACCAACCUCAUUUGAUACAACCAAUUACAAGACAAAGUAGAAAUUUAACAACCUCAUGUAAUAAAGCGGGUAGCAGUGAAAAAUUAGAUCCACCGAACAGUAGUUCAGUAAAAAAAGGUUAUCGGACACACAUUAAAUGAUCCUUGUAGCAGCAACCAUCGGUACCACUGGCAGAGUACAUACAUUGGGUUUAGCCAGUAGACCAAACAACCUAGGAGGUUGGAACCACCACCAUUAACCAAGGAACAUUCACACAAUGUGAGAAAACUUCCAUAUAGACUAAAACAAGAUAUGAUCGCAAUGACCUGGUUGAUCAUGAACCACAUUUGACUGGUUGUUUCAUCCAAGUCUGGAGUAAGAAUUAGUCAUAACUAGAAUUACGCUUUCAAGUGUUGGUUGACCCAGCCAGUACGCAACACCAAGCCAGCAUCAGAAACAACGGCAGGUAGGAAAAUACCUAUAUAACUCUUACUCUAUCCAUUAUAUUUUAACCAAAAAGAGCUUCCCACUUCGGUACAACAUGUGCGGGUACGUUAUAGCUGUUUCAGCUGGUGACUACCACACCACCAGCACCAAAUUGACUCAAGUUGUACUUGUAAGUCUUAAGUUUUGGGAUCUAAGAAAGCAGCAUAUUUAGUGUUGGAUAGAUGGUCUAAUUCGAGACCAUAUAAGAUUAAGUUGAAACUUAUCCAGGUCAUGUGUAGCAUUUGACUCUCAGUACCCAAUAUAUUAUUAAUUGGCCACAAAGUUCUCCGAUCUGGUAUCUGGGCACGUAUUGGUCAACGAUCGAUUCAGCACCAUGCAGAUCCACACGAUGCCAUUUCGGGGCAUACAAAAACAAGGAGGGAGAAAGAGCGGGAGAAAGAGAGGCUAAGGAACUUCAAGGGCUCGGGAUGUGUGUGUGUGUGUGUGUGUGGUUGGGGGUUCGGGGGGGUGGAGGGACAGAGGCACUCACCUGCUUAAGCGAUCGAGGGCUUACAUGGGAAUCGGCCGUAAGGGCUUUAGAAUAAGAGGGCUGCCUCCCAUAUAUACUUCAUACCAUGCUUACAUUUAUUUGGGAAAACAUCAUAAAAUUUGGGAAACAAAAGAGAAGGAAAAAAACAGAUUACAAAGCAGUUUCAAUAGACAUCUAACCCAUUAUAAACAGAAAAUACAAAGGUAAACAGAGUGCAGAGAAAAGACUGUGACUCUGAAAUAGAUAGAUAACACCAUAAUAAAAUAAUAGAUAACUAUAACCAGGACAAAAAGAUCGACUACAUACUAUCAAUAGUAAAAAUUAAUAGGUACUGCCACGUGUGUAUGAAAGGCAUCACAAAUUCAAAGCCGUUAAAGUAGACGUGCCAUCCAUCAUAAAUAGUAAUCACAAAGCAAACAGCUGCCACGAAGAGAGAGCUCAACCUCUAAAUCACAGAUAACAUCCAUAAUAUAGCCAAAAAACAACUAAACCGAGUAUAAAGAGAUUCAUAUCAUAUGACAGAUACAACAAACAAUAAAAAGAUAAAUAACUAGUGCCAAAGCAUACAUGUCUGUAUAAGUUGGAUAAAGUAAUAGUGGCUUCAAUAAACUGUGGGUGCAUGCACGAAAAAGAAUAGACACAACAAUGAUAAGCAAAAUAGAAAUUUAACCAACUAGUGUUGAUAAAGUGAGCAGUAGCAAAAAAUUAGCUUCUUGCAGAUCAAGGGAACAGAAAAAUUAAUUAAAAAUGGUUAUGUGACAUACAUUAAAUGACCAUUGUUACACUAACCAUUAAUAUCAUUAUACAAGGCAUAUACAUUGAGUGUGGUUAGUAGACCCAACCAUCUUGGAAGUUGGAACCACCACCAUUAACUCAGGGGUACACAAUGUGAGAAAACUCCCACAUGGACUACAAGCAAGAUAGUGGCAAUGACCCAAUUGAUCAUGAACCACAUCUGACAAUUUGUUUCAUGCAAAGUCUGGAGUUAGAAUCAGUCGUGACUAGAAUCAUGAUCCAUUGUGACUAGGAUCAUGGUUUCAAAUGCUGGCCGUUCCAGCCAGCAUGUACCCCACCACACCAGUGCUAGGAUCAAAGGCGUAUAGGAAACAUCUAUUUAACUCUUUAUUUAUAAAUUUUUAAUUAAAAAGGACUUCUUUUCAUUGCAGUAUAAGACGUGCUGGAACAUUAUUGCUGUUUCAGCUGGUGACUAGCACAACCACCAGCACCAAAACUUUAAACCCCGAUUAGAACUGAAUCCAAUAUCAUUAGUUCACAUUUCCACUUCAAGAGUCCAAAUCGGGGUUCGCCAAACUGUCCCAAAUCAUCCGGUUCAAGGCGUGCCGAAUAGUACCAGCGGCCAAUCGGAAUGGUUCUAGCAUUCGAAACAAAAAAUCGGUGAGAGGGGGAGGGAGAAGGAAAGAGAGGAAGAAAGGGGGGAUGGAAGGAGAGGGAGAGAGAGAGAGGACCUUUGGAAGCCAUCGGAGGGAGCCACUACCGAGCUCGCUGGAUGUCGAAAGGGAGGGAAGGAGAGGGGAGAGAGAGAGAGAGAAAGAGGAGGCCUCCGGAGGACCGGCAAGACCGCCAUGCCACCACCAAGGACGUCAAUAGCCCUCCCAUUGCCCACAACCCUUCUAAGAUUAGAUAAAACCCAAUGGAGCAAAAGAACACAAUUUUCUAUUUAAUGCUAAAGCCAUGAAACCAUGUCUAAGCUUUUCAUUCUGAACAAUUAAUCCUCUGUCUAAUGCUUUGACAAAAAUAGGUAAAGGGAAGUGGAUUAGCAAGAGGCACAACAUGUAUGGGAGACGCCACCUGCUCAUAAGAACAAGGGAAGGAGAGAUGAACGAGGUAACAACCUUUACAUUUUCCUACUUUGCAUAUAAGCAGGAGAUGCCGCCUGCAAUAACUUCUAUUCUUUGUUAACACAUGCUAGGAAUGGACCUUUUUUUACUUCCACAAGAGCAUCUGAAGGAAAGUUUUGAAUCCCUAUUUACUACCUUCCCUUUUAAACCAUCUCAAAAGUUUGACAUUCUAACCAAUUAAUCCUCUACUUAAUGAUCCGACAGUUAUAUGCAAAGGGUGGUGAAUUAGCAACAAGUGCAAACAUGUUGGGAGAUGCAACUUGCUCUAAUUUUUAUUCUUUAGUUAACAUGCUAUAAAUGGAUCCAUCCACAAAAGCAGUAGAAAGAAAGAUUCUAAUUCCCUAGUUUCCAUCUUCCUUUUCAAAUCAUAUCAAAAGCUUUCCAUUCUAAGUCCAUCAUCUAAUUAAUGAUUUCACAAAGGGCGGCAAAAGGAGAUAGAUUAUCAAACAAAAUUGGUGUACUGGAGUAGCAAGAGGUAGAAAUAUGGACACAUCCCCCUUAUUAUGUUUGCCUCUCUAAAUACAAAUGGAUUGACAUUUUGAGAUACUAUUUAGAUCAUUUUUUAUGCACACAUUCCCUAGCACCCUCAUCUAUUUCAAUCCUCACAAACUAUGUGAUGUAUUUUCCAAGAUCCUUUGUUAACCAAUUUUUGCUACUAAGAAUAAAGGAAGGUGAAACAAACAAGAGAAACUGCUAAGAACAAGAAAGCAACCUAUGUCAACCCCCGUCAAGGUUAGGUUGAGGUUUUAUAAAUUGGGUUGGGCUUGCACUCAAAAAUUCUAAACCACCUCAAGUACGGUUGGGUUACGGUGGACCUUCGACUCGACCAAAACCCAACCAAACCCGACCAACCUGAUAUAUAUAAAUAAAAACAUAUUUAUAUUUAUAUUUCACAUAGACUAUUUGUAGACUUAUAAAAUUACAUCUUCCUUCUAAAAUUAUGUAUACAUGUGCCACUGAAAUUGAUGAAGGGAUGAGGCAUCAACCUAACAAAUAUCAAUCCUACAAUAGCAUCCCAAACCGCUUCUUUGUCUUAAGAUUCUCAUUCGACCGUGCCAAAGUUAAUUAAUGCGGCACAAUCUUAAUCCGACAUAACUAACACAACUCAACCCAAUUUAGCUCAAGAUGGGGUUCAGUAGGACUCAAUUAGAGAAUCCUAACUACACCCUAGUUUUGGUCGAGUGAUGAUUGGGAGAUAUAGGGGUAGGUUUGCAAAUGGACUUGGGUGCAUACAAAGGGCCCAAACAUGUUGUAAUUUUAAGUUAAUUAUCAAUAAUAAAAAAGCACAGAUGUUUAAGAAUAUUGAUAAAUACUCAAAUCAAAAAAAAAGAAAAUAAAUUGAUGCACUAAAAGAAAUAAGGUGAAUACCCAUGGAAGCACAUGGAACAAAUUUGCACUGCAAUGCUAUAAAAACAUGAAAUUUAAAGAAUUCAUAAAAGAUAAGAAACAAGUACCAACUACAUGAUUUUGGGUUAUAAGUGCUACUAUUGUUAAAUAAUGUUAUAAAUAUAAUCUUUCUUCAUUUAUUUGCAUUCAAAUUGCUAAUUUUGGAACAUAUCUUUGAAAUAUAGUUUGGACUACAAGUUAUGUGAUGUUGUUUGGUAUUUAUGCAAGCUAAUGAUUUCGACACAAAGGGAAAAUCUUGACUAGCACAUUUGACUUAAUACUCCUAUCUCUUUUCUCACAUAAUAUAGUAUUUAGAUAAUAAAACAUGAUUUAAAAAAUAAAAUAAGACUAUCAUAUAGCAAAUUCUACCCUUAAAACUCAAACCGGGUCAAAGCUUGCACCAAUAACCAGCCCAUUCGAAAUGCAUAAUGUAAAAGUCCAAGCUACGCCCAAUUAAACUAUAUAUAUAUAUAUAUAUAGAGAGAGAGAGAGAGAGAGAGAAGAGAGAGAGAGAGAGAGAGAGAGAGAGAAGAAGAAGAGAGAGAGAGAGAGAGAGAGAGAGAGAGAGAGAGAAGAAGAAGNNNNNNNNNNNNNNNNNNNNAGAGAGAGAGAGAGAGAGAGAGAGAGAGAGAGAGAGAGAGAGAGAGAGAGAGAGAGAGAAGAAAAAGAAGAAGGGGAAGUAGAAGAAGGAGAAGAAGAGGAGGUAGAAGGAGAAGAAGAAGAAGAAAAGGAAGUAGAAGAAGAUGAUGAUGAAGAUGAAGUAGAAGCAAAAGAAGAAGAAGAGAAAGAGGAAGACGACGAAGAAGAAGAAGAAGCAACAGAAGAAACAGGAUAAGAAUAAGUCAGACAAGGAGACAGAGAAGAAGAAAAAAGAUGAAAAUGGAGGAGGAGAAGAAUGAGAAAGAGAGGGAGAAGAAGAAGAUGAUGAUGAAGAAGAAUAAGGAGGAGAAGGAGAAUAGGAAGAAGGAGAAGAAGAAAUAGAAGAAGAAGAAGGAGGAGAGGAAGAAGGGCAAGGAGGUGGAGGAAGAAGAAGGAGAAGGAGAAGGAUAAUGAAGAAGUAGGAAAGGAAGAGGAAGAGGUAUAAGAAGAAGGAGAACAAGAGGAAGGAAAAGGAGAACAAGAAGAAGAAGGUGAAGAAGAAUUAGGAAGAGGAACAAAGAAGAAGAAGAAGAAGAACUGGAAGAAGUAGAAGAAUAAUGAGAAGAAUAAGAAUAAGGAGGAGGAGGAGAAGAAGAAGAGGAAGAAAAAGAAAAAGGAGGAGAAGAAGAGGAAGUAUGAGAAGGAGAAGAAGCAGAAGAGGAAGCAAAAGAAGGACAAGGAGAAGAAGAAGCAAGGUAAGAAGAAGGAGAAGAAGGAAAAAAGAGGACAAGAAAAAAAGAAUGAGGAGGAAGAGGAGAAAGAGAAGAAGCAAAAUAAGAAGAGAAGAAGAAGAAGAAGAUCACAUAGAAGAUGAAGAAGAGGCAGAAGAAGAAGCCGAAGAAGAGGGUGGAGAAGGAGUAGGAGAAGAAGAAAAGAAAGAACAAGAAGAAGGAGAAGAAAAAUAAUGUGAAGGAGAAGAAGAAGAAGAAGAAGAAGGAGGACAAGAAAAAAGAAUAAGGAAGAGAAGAAGAAGAAGAAGUAGAAGAAGAAGAUGAAGAUGAAGAAGAAGAAAGCACAAGAAGAAGCAGAAGAUGAAGAAGAAGAAAGCACAAGAAGAAGCAGGGGAAGGAGGAGGAGGUGAAGUAAAAAGAACAAAAAAAUUAAAAAGAAGAAUAGGUAGGAGAAGAAGAAGAGGAAGAAGAAAAUGAUGAUGAAAAGGAAGAUGAAGAAGAAGAAGAAGAGGAGGAACAAGAGGAAGAGGAAGAAAAGGAAAAGGAAGACAAAAAGGAUGAGAAAGAAGAAGAAGACGACGAAGAAGAGGAAGGAGGAGGAGGUGAAGAGGAAGAAGAGGAUGAAAAGGAAAAAGAAGAAGAGGAAGAGGAAGUGGAAGAGGAAAAAGAAAAAGAGGAGGAAGAUGAAGAAGAACAAGAACAAGAACAAGAAGGCGAAGAAAAGGAGGACGAACAGGAGGAGGAGAAAGAAGAAGAAAAGAGGAAGAAAAAGAAGAAGAAGAGGAGGAGGAAGAAGAGGAUGAAGAAGAAGAUGAUGAUGAUGAUAGAGGAGGAGGAGGAGGAGACGGUGGAGCAGAGAGAGGAGGAGAAGAGGAAGAACAAGAAGAAAGAGAACAAGGAAGAAGAAAAAGAAUGAGAAUAAGGAGAAGAAAAAGAAGAAGCUGGAGAAGAAGGACAAGAAGAAGAAGAAGAAGGACAAGAAGAAAGAAGAAGGAGAAGAAGCAGAAGAAGGUGGAGAAGGAGAAGAAGCAGCAGAAGCAGAAGAAGAAGCAGCCAAUUUAGCAGAAGAAGCAGAAGAAGAAGGAAAAGCAAAAGCAGAACCAGAAGAAGAAGAUGAUGAUGAUAAUGAUGAUGAAGAAGCAGAAGUAGAAAAAGAGAACUAAGAGAAGCAGAAGCAGAAGGAGAAGAAGGGAAAGAUGAUGAUGAAAAAGAAGCAGAAGCAAAAGAAGGAGAAGCAGAAGAUGGAGAAGAAGAAAAAGAAGCAGAAGAGGAAGAAAAGCAGAAGAAGAACAAGAACAAAAAGAAAGAAACAGGAGGAGAAGAAGAAGGAGAAUGAGGAGGAGAAGGAGAAAGAAGAAAAAGGAGGAGAAGAAGAAGAACAAGAGAAAGAUGAUGAUGAAAAAGAAGCAAAAGCAGAAGAAGCAGAAGAUGGAGAAGAAGAAAAAGAAGCAGAAGAGGAACAAAAGCAGAAGAACAAGAACAAGAAGAAAGAAAUAGGAGGAGAAGGAGAAUGAGAAGGAGGAGAAGGAGAAGAAAGGGAUGGAGAAGCAGAAGGAGAAAGAAGAAAAAGGAGGAGGAGGAGAAGAAGAGCAAGAAGAAGAAGAAGUAGAAGAAGGAGACGAAGAAGAAGGAAAUGGAGGAGGAGAAGAAUGAGAUGCAGGAGAGGGAAAAGGAGGGGAAGGAGGAGAAGGAGAAGAAGAUGAAGCAUGAAGAAGGAGAAGAAAGAGAAGAAGAAGAAGAAGAAAAAGAAGCAGCAGAAGAUGUGGAAGAAGAAGCAGCAGCAGAAGAAGAAGCAGGGGAAGAGGGCAGAGAAGAAGGAGAAGGAGAGGAGGAAAAGCAAGAACAAGAAGAUAGGAAACAAAGAAGAAGAAGAAUGAGAGGAAGCGCAAAAAAAGGGGGGGGGGAUGAACAACAAGAAGAAGGAGAAGCAGAAGAAAUGAAGAUAAAGAAACAAAAGACAGUGAAGGAGGAGGAGGAGGAGAAAAAACAAGAACAAGAAGAAGAAGAAGAAUAGGAGGUAGGAAAAGAAGAAGAAGAAGAAGAUAAAGAGGAAGGAGGAGGAGGAGGAGGAGACGAGGAAGAAGAGAAAGAAGAAAGAGAAGAAGAAGAAGAGAGGUGGAGGAGGAGGAGGAGGAAGAGGCAGCAGCAAAACAAGAAGAAGAUGACGAAGAAGAAGAAGAAGAAGAAAAAGAAGCAAAAGAAGUAGAAGAAGAAGAAGAAGCACAAGCAGCAGAAGAGGAAGCAGCAUAAGAAAGAAGAAGGAGAAGGAGAAGGAAAAGGAGGAGUAGAUGUAGAAGAAGAACCAGAAGAAGAAUGAAGGAGCAGAAGAAGAAGCAGAAGUAGAAGAAGGAGAUGGAGGAGGAUGAGGAGAAGAAGAAGAAGAAGCAAGAAUUGUGGAACCAUCCCAAACAGCCCGAUUUGGAACGUACAGAGCCACAUGAUGGCCGCCGACCUGAACAGUUCUGGCAUUCGAAACAAGAAAUCGAUGGAGAGGGAGAGGAAGAAGGAAAUAGAGAAAAAGAGGGGGAGGGGGGAGAGAGACAAGGUCACCAGAGGGCACCGAGGCCGUCGGAGAGUGGAAGGAGGGGCUCUACCCUACUCCCAAUCAUAACAUGGGCGGAAGCUCCUGUUUCUUUUUUAUUUUGUCAAUUUCUAAUGAAAUCAGCAACCACAUUUCAAUCGAAAGGAAGGCAGAGUCCCUCUCUCUCUCACUCUUUUCCUCUCUCAUGUUCUUCCUCUCGCUCGCCCUCAGUGCCAUGUUGUUAUGGGCUUUACCAGCCUUCACAAACUCUCUCCCUCCAUUCUUCCCUUUCCCUCUACCUUCCCUCUCUCUUUUCCUCUCUCCCAUUCUCUCUCUCCCCCCCACCCUCUCUGCUGUGUCAGUUUGGACUUGGCACAGGGGCAUACAAACCAUAGCAACCAAUCCAAGCCCCAAUACCGGCACAGCAAAUAUUGAGACCAAAAAUGAGACAGAGGAGAACGAGGAGGAGGAGAAGGAAUAAGGAGGAGGAGAUGAAGCAGGAAGAAGAAGAAGAAGCAAAAGCAGGGGAAAAGGGUGGAGAAGAAGGAGAAGGAGAAGGAGAACAAGAAAGAACAAGAAGAAGCAGAAUGAAGAAGAAAAUGAAGGAGAAGAAGAAGAAGAAGUAGGAGAAGCAGCAAAAGAAGAAGCUAAAGCAGAAGAAGAAGGAGAAGGAGAAGGAAAAAAAAACAAGAAGGAGAGAGUAAAAGAUAGAGAAGAAGAAGAAGGAGGAGGAAGAGGAGGAGGCGAAAAAGGAAGAGGAGGAGAACAAGAUGGAAAACAAGGAAGGAGGAGGAGGAGGAGAAGAAGGUGAAGGAGAAGGAGAAGAAGAGGAGGAGGAAGAAGAAGAGGAGGAGGAAGAAGAAGAGAAGCACAGGAAAGAAGAAGAGGAAAAGGAAGAGGAAGAAGAGGAGGAGGAGGAAGAGGAAGAAGAAGAGGAGGGAGGAGGGAGGAGGAAGAGGAGGAAGAAGGGGAGGGAGGAGGAGAGGGAGGAGAAGAGGAAGAUAAAGCAGCAGAAGAGAAAGAAGAAGGAGACGAAAAAGGAGGAGGAGAAGAAGCAAAAGAAGAAGUACACACACACAUAUACAUACAUAUAUACAUAUAUAUAUAUACACACACACACACAUACAAAUACAUACAAAUAUAUACAUAUACAUAUACACAUACAAAUAUAUAUAUACAUAUACGUACAUACAUAUACAUAUACAUACAUAGAUAUAUAUAUAUAUAUAUAUAUAUAUAUAGAGAGAGAGAGAGAGAGAGAGAUAUAGAUAUAUAUAUAUAUAGACACACACACACUCUCUGUUGCAUCAUAUACUUCAGAUUUUGAGAAAUGAAGCAAAAGUUUUUAUCUUUCAUACUUGAUGUGACACCAUGCUUCAAAAAAAAUUAAAUCAUGAAAACCCUAAGGGUGAACUCUAGGCAAUUUGCUAUUGUAAGAUCUGUAAAGGUUCGUUCAAUUCUAUUUUCUCUUAUCCAUUCACUUUUCUCACAUACUUUCUGUUUUUCCAUUCAAACCCAUGCUUGUAACAUAAAUGAACCCUCUUAUACUAAUCCCAUUCAAUUCUUCCAUCACAUCCUCGACUUUUAUUGAAUUCUUAACCCUCAUGGCUCCAAAACAAGAAUCUCUAUUCAGCCUUCCAUACCAUCAAUUAAUCCUCUUACACUAAUCCCAAAUCAAUUAUCUGUUACAUUACCAGCUGAACACAUGCUAUCAAUCUUGUAAAAUCUUAUUUUUGAGACGUCAAGAGUUGACAAGCCAUUUCCCUGAUAUGGCUAGUAAGGAACAGGGUGCACUAGUUCCAAGGAGGAAUGCUUACCUUCAACAUACUUGCAUUGUUACAAACCAUCAGCAUCUUACUUAUCUCAAGCAAUAAAAAGAAACAAAUAAGUACCCAACAAACAAGGGCAUCAAGAACUUCCUCCGGUAGGUGUCUCAAAUUCCAAUUGGUAACAAGUAAGAUCUAAUUAAUAUAGUUGAACAAUUUUGGGAAACCUUGAAGAUGAUAAAUUUGAUUGGCAAGCUUUCAAAUUAUAACCACCAACAUUAAAGUUAAUCUUAGUAGUAAUGGUCACAGACUCAUAGCCGUGGCAGCAGUAGUUAUGCAUAGCCACUCAAUGAAAGAAUCCAAGGCCUAGCCAAAAGAUCAUAUAUUCCAGCCAAUAAUUUAAUAGACAGAAAUCCAUAAAAGGGGCAGUGAAUUAGAUUACCAGAGAGUGGGCAAUAUAGAUUGAGGCGAGAAAUGAGGAGAUUGGCAAGGAGGCGGAGGUCCAGCCACAGUCACAUGAUCUUAGCCACAGACAAAGUCCUCAUAGAUGUAGCUGCAGAUGUUUUGGCGGGAGUUCUCCCUCCUCUUAUGCUCCUUGUUAGAGGUUCAGUCUCACCUCCAUUGUCAUGGUAUUGGCUCCAAGAGAAAGAGGGAGGACCCAUUUAUCUGGUGCUAAAGCAUAUCAUGCAUUGCCUAAACAAAGAAAAAUAAAGCAUCCAUUAGUUCAAGAAUUCAGUGUGAAUUUAAGACAAGAAAUAUAAAUCUGAUAAAGGUCACUUAUACAAUAAAUUAUAUAGUUGCAAACAUUGUUUCGUGAGGGAGGGAUGGAAGGAAAACAAGACAAAAUUGACAUAGCAGUACCAUAAAGAACUAAUAAUGAUAAAAGUUCAGCCACAGGAAGGCAAUAGCAAAUGAGAUCAGAUGCGUUAGAAAUAUUAUAAGAGAACUAACAAGUCACAACUAUUGCAGUAGGAUUGAUACAAAGGAAUUUAUGCAGACUUAAGCGAUUAUGUUCCUAUUCACAUCUUUUUGUGCCAAUGGACCCUCAACUUAUGAUUUUGCAUCAAUUAAACAAUCAUUGCAUUCAACAUAUGGAUCAUUUGAAAGACUAAUAAACAAAAAUAAGCUAAAUGGAUGCAAUGGACCAGAAGAACACACUAAUACAUUAUCUGAAACUUUUGAGUCAACCAGAUAUACACCCAAAAGAUAGAUAACUUUCUGGUUAGUGUUGAGGCAGGUUGAUAUUUGAAGACCCAAUUCUGACACUAUCUCAACUACUCAGGUUAUUCUUGGCCUACUAAGAUUUCAAGAAGAUGAAGGAUUGGAAGAGCAUAUUUGUUAUCAAGCAUUGCAGAAACAUGGAAUAAUUACCAAGUAAAAUAAAAUCAUCAAAAGCCACGCAUGAACAGGCUGAGUCAUGACAUCUACAAAACCAAAGUUACACAAACACCCCAUCACUGAUGCAUAAGAUACAUCUAUAUAAGAGCUAGACAAACAUAAACGACAUAGCUAAAACUGAUUUGUCCAGAAAAAACAUAUUUCAAACCAAUCCCUCAUGAUUGCAAUGUGAACAGAACAUGUCAAUAUUGUAGGUGGUUAACAACAAACAAAACAAUGAACCGCCACGCACCACACGAUUGGAACUAGUUACCAGCCUUCUUGGUGUAACUGCCAAAAAGUCUCCACCACCAUCUGUGUAUAUGCUCGCAAACAUGUACUGUAUAAUUUCAAAGUCUAUCUCACGAUAAGCUUUUCCAAGAUCUAGUCUGCUGAAAAACUCAUGUACACUAAAUUUACCAUUUUUGCAAAUUCUUCAUUGACAUUACUAAGGCUAGCUCAGCCAACAGAAACAACGGUGUUAGAUGGAUGAUAAUAUUGGUUCUGGCAUAAGCAUCAGAUAGUGAUCCUUAUUAAUCCCCCGAGUCAACUUCAACAAGAAGUCACACCCACGGCCAAGCACAUGAAUGUACCCAUGCAUAUGCAUGUGUGCUUAUACAAGUGCACAUGCAUUUAUAUACAAUGACGGAGAUGUUUGCAAAGGAACACAAUCGCACUUCCCUUUUAAGUAUGCAUGUGCAGAGUCAAUGAACUCGUUGCCAAACCUCGUCUACAUUUUAACACCAUUAGAAUACCCUUCUUAAGCGAUAGAGGUAUUAUCCCCCAACACUUGAGAAAUUACACAAGCAUGGGAAUAUACAAAGAUACAAGCACAGACAUAGACAUCACAGCUAAUGACAAUCAUCACAUGGAUGAUGACAAGUAAUGAGCUUUCAUACAUCAAAGUCCCCAUACCUGUUAUUCACAAGAAUCCUAUUUAAGAUAGAGGGUGAAUCUAGCCUAUUUAAGAGACUAAGCAGGAUUAUCCAGUCUGUUUUGCAGUAAAAAGCCUGCAACAUAUAGUAGAAAAUUAAUUCAAAUGGGAUGCAUAGAUGGCCAAUCAAGGUAUGCUGAACUGGUACCGCCGGCCGUACCGGCCAGUCGGUGGUACGGUUUCGUACCGUACCGAACCGACGAAGGCAAGCGGACCCAAACCGGAAGAAGAAAAAGAGAGAGAGAGAGAAAUAGAGAGAGAAGGAGGAAGAAAGAAAAAGAGGGAGGGGAAGG